AGCUGGUCCAAGUGCAGUGGUGUUUACAAGUAAUUGGCCACAACCAGUUAUAGAUUCCUCUGUUCCUUCGACACUCCCCACUCCGCUGCUCUGCUUGAUCAGCCUUAA
This is an unclassified non-coding RNA of Otolemur garnettii (small-eared galago), 108 nucleotides long. It matches the Rfam family "Y RNA". Rfam says of the family: Y RNAs are components of the Ro ribonucleoprotein particle (Ro RNP), in association with Ro60 and La proteins. The Y RNAs and Ro60 and La proteins are well conserved, but the function of the Ro RNP is not known. The record is from Ensembl. NCBI's taxonomy places the organism in Eukaryota, Metazoa, Chordata, Mammalia, Primates, Galagidae.